GGCGGCACCUUCGGCGGCCGAAAGUCUCGGACAGAGCCGAAACUCCAACUUUCGGGGGCAAGCUUUGGCAGCCUAAAGCUGCCUCUCAAGCCAUGUUCGGCGGCCGAAACUCCCUUCGGCUGCCGAACCUGGUUUCUGCCAAAGGGCAGAAACUUGGCUCCCUUAAGCAUUUUUGCCUUCAAACUCAUCAAUCAUGCAUAAACUUGUUCUAAAACAUGCAUAAACACCAUACAUCACACCUAGGGGUCUCAAACUAUCAAAUACCCCAACUACAACACUUCAACACACACAAACAACAUACAUUGUUCAUCAAAACAUCAAAACCCAUAAACUCAUCAACAAGCCUAAACAUGCAUCUCUACCCAUAAAACAACUUAAAACUUACUUAAAACAUAUAAGGAGCUUAAGAUCGGCUCUUACCUCUUGAAGAUCGAGAGGGAGACGACCUAAACUUGGAGAUCCACGAAAAUGAGCUCCUGAGUUCCCAAAGCUCCAAAACUUGGUUUAAAUGCUCAAAACUUGCAAUGUGAGUUUAAAACUCAAGGAAAAUGGAAGAGAUUUGGAGGAAGAAUACAAGAUUUGCAAAGGGAAGGUCGGAAGCUUGCUGUGGCCGAAAAUGGGAGAAAGCUCGCCCAUUUCGGCUAAGUGCCCCUUUUAUAGGUGGCUGGCCAGGCCACGUUCGGGGGCCGAAUGUGCCUCCGCAUCCAUGCAAUGUUCGGCGGCCGAACUUGACUUUCGGCGGCCGAACCUGGACUUCCCUAACUCAUGCUUUCGGGGGCCUAACGUGCCUCCAAAACGCAUGCAUGUUCGGCGGCCGAACUUGACUUUCGGCGGCCGAACCUGGGUUUUCCUCCAAAGACUUCUCAUGAAAAACUCA
RNAcentral lists this long non-coding RNA (877 nucleotides) under Manihot esculenta (cassava). RNAcentral describes it as "long non-coding RNA (MESC_LNC002308)". The record is from RNAcentral. Lineage: Eukaryota; Viridiplantae; Streptophyta; Magnoliopsida; Malpighiales; Euphorbiaceae.